CCUACGGGGGGCUGCAGUGAGGAAUAUUGGUCAAUGGCCGGAAGGCUGAACCAGCCAAGUCGCGUGAAGGACGAAGGUGCUAUGUAUUGUAAACUUCUUUUGUCAAGGGAUAAAAUCAGUCUCGAGAGCCUGAUCGAGGGUACUUGAAGAAUAAGCACCGGCUAAUUCCGUGCCAGCAGCCGCGGUAAUACGGAGGAUCCGAGCGUUAUCCGGAUUUAUUGGGUUUAAAGGGUGCGUAGGCGGCCUGUUAAGCCAGCGGUAAAAGCCCGGGGCUCAACCCCGGCGAGCCGUUGAAACUGGGUGUCUUGAGAUGUCGGGAGGUAUGCGGAAUGCGCGGUGUAGCGGUGAAAUGCUUAGAUAUUGCGCAGAACUCCGAUUGCGAAGGCAGCAUACUGGCGGCGAUCUGACGCUGAGGCACGAAAGCGUGGGUAUCGAACAGGAUUAGAUACCCUGGUAGUC
This 459-nucleotide ribosomal RNA is filed under the name uncultured bacterium. Its description in RNAcentral is "partial 16S ribosomal RNA". It matches the Rfam family "Bacterial small subunit ribosomal RNA", at positions 338 to 795 of the family's 1533-position model. The record is from RNAcentral.